AUUGAACGCUGGCGGCAUGCUUUACACAUGCAAGUCGAACGGCAGCACGGGCUUCGGCCUGGUGGCGAGUGGCGAACGGGUGAGUAAUAUAUCGGAACGUACCCAGAAGUGGGGGAUAACGUAGCGAAAGUUACGCUAAUACCGCAUACGAUCUAUGGAUGAAAGCAGGGGACCGCAAGGCCUUGUGCUCCUGGAGCGGCCGAUAUCUGAUUAGCUAGUUGGUGAGGUAAAGGCUCACCAAGGCGACGAUCAGUAGCUGGUCUGAGAGGACGACCAGCCACACUCGAACUGAGACACGGUCCAGACUCCUACGGGAGGCAGCAGUGGGGAAUUUUGGACAAUGGGCGCAAGCCUGAUCCAGCAAUGCCGCGUGAGUGAAGAAGGCCUUCGGGUUGUAAAGCUCUUUUGUCAGGGAAGAAACGGUAGAGGCUAAUAUCCUUUGCUAAUGACGGUACCUGAAGAAUAAGCACCGGCUAACUACGUG
RNAcentral lists this ribosomal RNA (484 nucleotides) under uncultured bacterium. RNAcentral describes it as "partial 16S ribosomal RNA". It matches the Rfam family "Bacterial small subunit ribosomal RNA", at positions 30 to 507 of the family's 1533-position model. The record is from RNAcentral.